GGGGAUGAUAGCCAAAGUGGUACGGCAAAAAUCAGCAGGUAGUAGUUGUGCUUUUUUUUCAUAUCGUCAUGUUGUAUUUGUAAUCAUAUUUCUUGGGAGUUCGAUUCUCCCCAUCCCCA
This 119-nucleotide transfer RNA is filed under the name Bacteroidales bacterium. RNAcentral's name for it is "tRNA-OTHER". The record is from RNAcentral. Lineage: Bacteria; Pseudomonadati; Bacteroidota; Bacteroidia; Bacteroidales.